Macrobrachium nipponense is the source of this 951-nucleotide long non-coding RNA. RefSeq lists it as uncharacterized. The transcript is spliced from 3 exons. The record is from RefSeq and is a predicted model, not a curated record. Lineage: Eukaryota; Metazoa; Arthropoda; Malacostraca; Decapoda; Palaemonidae.
UGGGUUCGUACGUAUAUUUACACGUAAUCGUUGAUUGUGUAUAAGUUUGACGGUCUCUGUUGUUGCGUGAUCGUGAUUGGGAAUAAUGGACUUAUGGAUAUCUUGCCGAACCUCUCGACUGAAAACUUGGAUACUUCCGGCAGCCUCCUGAAUCUAGUAUUUGAAACGACACAAUCUGGGAGAAGGGUUUAAUUUAUUCCGAAGUCUGGUUAUGAAGUGUGAAUUGAGUUUAUCAAAACUGAGUGGUUAUUCAGCAACGGGACCAACGGCUUUGUGACGUCCAAACCAUCUCGAGAGAACUUCUAUCACCAUAAAUAAACAUCUCGCCCCUCAAUGGAAUGCCAGCGAAUCGAACUCUCAGCCACCGAGGUGGUAGGCAAAGUCCAUACCAACCACACACACUGAGGCGCUUUAAUGACAACUAGCGUUUUAGAGAGUGCAGGCAGAAUGUUCUUCUGUUGGUAGAGCACUAUGAUUUUCAACAGAGUUGGAUUGGAAUCUUGGCUGGGAAUGGAUCCUAUUAUUAGACUUCUCCUCUUUAACCGUACUGUAAAGUUUUCGCCAUUCUUUAGUUCAUAUUUGUAACUGGGUAUUUGCUAUUUCAAUAGACUAUAAAAUUCACAUGCAUGUAGUUUUUACCUUCACAAAUACUAAAUCCGAAUUGAAUGUGUAGUUUGUAGUACCUUGAAACCGAGGAAUGGCUCGGUAUACUUAUUUCCAAUAUUUAGUUUUAUUAUACCUUAAACAACUACGGUUGAAAUUCAACUAUGGUUUAUAACUAAACAAUCUUCACCCUCUCGAGUUAAGCAUUUAAACUGUGGUGAAUAAUAACUUUGUGAUUACAACUUGGUUAUUUUUAUUGUGGUUAUUUUUAUUGUGGUCUACGUGAAGUGAUACUCUAAAGUAUUAGAGCAUAGGUAUUCGUUGGGGUGAAGUGACUUUUAAAUCCAU